RNAcentral lists this long non-coding RNA (849 nucleotides) under Brassica napus (rape). Its description in RNAcentral is "long non-coding RNA (BNAP_LNC009706)". Lineage: Eukaryota; Viridiplantae; Streptophyta; Magnoliopsida; Brassicales; Brassicaceae. The record is from RNAcentral.
UUUUAUUUAUUUAUUUAACCACACAUUUUUCAGAUAUAUGUUUAAUUUAGUUUUUCUAUUUUUUAUAUUGUGUAUUUUACUUACUGUUUAUCUUUUCUUAUUUUUUUUUUUUUUGUUUUUUCAACCCCUUCAAAUUUUACAUUCAGCCCAGUCGAAGCCCAAUUAUAAACAUGAUACAGAUUAAGAAAACACGUGUUUUGUGUUAAAUAAUCCCUAAUGCAUGAACGACACGUGCGUCUUGAUGUUGGAGUUCGACUUUUCUGGAAACUGGAGAUGGCGCCAUCGGUUUCGCCGGAAACCUACCCGAACAGCAACCUUCAGCUACAACCUUCGGCCUGUUGAUCUACUUGACUCCAUUCCUUGUUCGCCGUCGAUUCUACUUGAUUCUUCAUCUUCUCGGUAGAGGUGAAUUACGGUGAGUAGCUUCAGAGAGAUAAAGGCAGGGCCUUGCUAGAACGCUUUCAAAGAAGAAAACUCCAGCUUAAUCUGAACCUGUAUCAUCUCCCCACGCUUGAUCAAUCUUCUUAAUCUCUAACCUUCAAAGGAUACUCUGCCAUAAACUGAGCUAGCGAAGAUUGUUUCCUUAUAUAGGAAAGAAAUUAAGCAUAACUAACAAGAAGAUUGGAAUUUUGUAAAACCAUACGGGAUAUGAAUUUGUAAAGAACAGAGAAAACGGAUUUAAAACACAACAAAAUCGCCUUAUGCGAAAAGAGAAAUCGCCAAGCGAAGGGUAAAUCGAUCUAAUGAUCGAAAGGAUUAUGAACAUCAAAAGGAUCUGAUCUAUUGAUCAGAAAAAACAAAAGGAUUGAGUUUUCUCUUCAUCCCCUCUGUGAAAGAUUUUAGUGUGAG